This 427-nucleotide ribosomal RNA is filed under the name uncultured bacterium. RNAcentral describes it as "bacterial SSU rRNA". It matches the Rfam family "Bacterial small subunit ribosomal RNA", at positions 1 to 429 of the family's 1533-position model. The record is from RNAcentral.
UUUAGAGUUUGAUCCAUGGCUCAGGACUAACGCUGGCGGCGUGCCUAACACAUGCAAGUCUGACGAGAAAGCGGUAGCAAUAUCGCGAGUAAAGUGGCGAACGGGUGAGUAACACGUAACCAACCUGCCCUCAAGUGGGAGAAAACCCAGGGAAACUUGGGCUAAUCUUCCAUAACGUGAUCUCGACGCAUGUCGGGAUCAUUAAAGAUUCAUCGCUUGGGGAGGGGGUUGCGUCUGAUUAGCUAGUUGGCGGGGUAACAGCCCACCAAGGCUUCGAUCAGUAGCUGGUCUGAGAGGAUGAUCAGCCACACUGGGACUGAGAUACGGCCCAGACUCCUACGGGAGGCAGCAGUGAGGAAUAUUGCGCAAUGGGCGAAAGCCUGACGCAGCAACGCCGCGUGUAGGAUGAAAUCCUUCGGGAUGUAAA